This is a non-coding RNA of Oryctolagus cuniculus (rabbit), 6144 nucleotides long. NCBI's taxonomy places the organism in Eukaryota, Metazoa, Chordata, Mammalia, Lagomorpha, Leporidae. The record is from RefSeq and is a predicted model, not a curated record.
GGGCAGCUGGCAGCAGGGAUCGAGGCCACAGACAGCGGAAGCCCACAGCUGAGAGUCAGCGCCACAGCCAUGACCCCUGGGGACCCCGCCCCGCCUCAGGCCUCGCGUCCAGGCCUAUCUAAACCACUGCACUCAGGCGCUUUAAGGGCCCAAGGACGCCACCUCCCCAUGACCCUCGUCACCUCCAACCCGUCGUCCCACCAAAGCCAACGCAGUCUUCCCAUGAACAGGCCACGUCCGUGCAGUGAGGAGGCCACUCGCUCACGACCUAAGAAAGAGGCGCUGGUCUAAGUGCCAGGGCACGCUCGAGACCCAAGCAGAUGUGUGUGGAGCUUCCCAGUUCUGUAGCUAAUCCUAAAGAUGAAAAUGCAAAGGUGGCCUGUGGUGAGUGCUCUGAAGGAAGCCAGGACUAACGAGAGCACAGAGCAGGUUCAACCACAGGCAAGCACUCCGCCCGCAGAGGGAUGGAGGGGUGGGUGCGUGGAUCAACGGACAGACGGACAUACAGGUAGAUGAGGGGAUGGAUGUGUGGAUGGAUGGGGGAUGGAGGGGUGGGUGCGUGGAUCAACGGACAGACGGACAUACGGGUGGAUGGGUGAAAGGAGGGGGGCACGGAGAGAUGGAUAGAGGGAUGGACGGAUGAAUGGAUGGGGGAGGGAUGGACGCAAAGAUAGGCAGGUGGAUGGAUGGAAGGAAAGAUGGACCCACAGAUAGGUGGGUGGAUAGAAGGAUGGAGGCACAGGUGGACGGACAGACGGACAGAUGGACGGAUGGCUGGCCUGCUGUUCCCUUUGUAGCAGUCCAUGUUUCUCAAGGCCAUUCCACAUUUUCUCAGUGGACUCUCAAAACACUGCUAAGAUGUUCACAGGAAGUGCGACCUUCUGUUUUUGCCAGUGGGAAAAGGCAGGCCCCAGGAGGGGGCGCAGUGGCCCACUACCACACGCAGGUGAGCAUCAGGGGCCUAAGACCCUCACUCACUCCUGGCAGGAGUCUCAGACUCUCCACCCUCCCUCCCGGCCCCUGCGCCCCCCGCCUGCCACUGCUACCCCAGCCACGGCUUGGCUCAGCUUGCUCCAGCGAGAGUUUGACCAGUAGAGGGCCACAAGAAACGGCCCAUUCCCGAGGGAGACGUCACCGAAGUCGGCCAGUGUAAGGGAGGUCCCUCUAGCCUGGCCCGGUGUCUCUGGCCGCUGAACACCUGCGGUGAGAGCCCCGCUCCCCAGGCCCGGCUGCAGCGACCCCCGGGGACCAGGCAUCACUCCACAGUUUUCUAUGUGGUCCCAGAGUGUGACAGAACGUGCAACCAUUAGGAGCCUUGCCAUGACCCGCGACGUCCUAGGUUAGCGGCACUAAGGGGGUGGGAACCCAACGCCAGGAUCGUAUUUGGAGGUGGGGCCUCUGGGAAGGGAUUUAUGAUUAGAUUUAGAUCCGGCCCCCGGACUGAAUCCUGACGACUUUACAGAAAGACUACACAGACCGACCUCUGCAUCCCUUUAUAAUUUUCUGUACUCUCUGACAAUUCCGUAGUUUUCUUCAAAGCCAUCCAAAAACAGCCUGUCACCAACACUAAUCGUGUUGAGUGAAAGGAGUGACCACGUGGGAAGACGCAGCGUGUGAGUGACACGAGCACUCCGCUGGGAAACACGACUCUCCGGCGGCACGUGAGAACACGAGCCGUCAACACGGCCGGCGGGGCCGCCGCGCGGCAGAUGGAGCAGGCGACUUUAAAGAUAGCUCAGCGGCGUGAACGGGGCUCCGCGCUGCGCUGCAUCUGGGUCAGGCAUCACAUGAUCUCCCGGGGACCCAGAACAAGCCCCCGGCUCCCUCCGGGCCUCGAGCCCAGCCCACAACCCAAGGCACAGAGGGUGGGGGGCUCCGUGGGGGCUUCCCCGCCAGGCUCAGGAGAACCCCAGGGAGCUUCGGCACCUGGCAGCUCAGAGUCAGGGCCUUGCACGAGGUCAGCUCCUCCAACCCCUUCAUUGCCGGGGGAGGGAGUGUGUGAGAGACUUUAGCAGGGGGUCCAGGGACAGUGACAGGCGGGCAGAGGCCUUGGGAAGGGCAGGCCUGCCAGUCCUGCUGCUAGUCCUUUCCUGGGGUCCCCUAGACGUGGACAGCCCACUGCUCCCCGUCAGCAACGUGAAGAACUCGAAAGGUUCUUUAUUCUUCUGAUCUCGGCUGGCAAAGCCGCCCGCAGGUGAAACUGAAGGAAUCGCUCACGCCCAACCCCCGGGGACUCCUCCCAGCCGCUCCUGUCGCGGUUCAGCUGGCGGGCAGCUUGCCUCUCUGUCCAGCACAGCGGCUGGGCCCUGACUUCCACACCUGCCACCUGCCACUCCCCAGGGUGGGCAGCCCGAGGGCCAGGCCCUGCUCCGGGGACCAGCACAGCCCUGAGCACACACACUCACACGUGGCCUGAGAGAUGACUACGCCAAUAAGCAGAAUGCUAGAAAACUCAGCCACACCCACCAGGAGGAGGGUGUACGGCCUCCGCCCCUGGUGAAACCAAAGGGGCUUCACAUGGCCUGGCCACAGGCUCCCGUGGACAAGGCCCUGCCACACACCCCUCCUGGUCAAGGGGACCAUGCCCCAUGCCCCCUGCCGUGGGUUUCAGUCCUGUCCCUCACGGAAUUAUUUAAGAAAGGUGAUCCCGCGCUCCCGUAGGCUUGGCCACACUCCUCGCACGACAAAGUCUGCUGGCCACUCUGCCCCCGAAUGCAACCUUCGGUGUGGCCUCACAGGCCUGUGCUGGCCUCUCCCCAGGCUGUGCGUGCGUGGGAGUCAGAACCUGCUGUCACUCUCAUGUGCGCAGGGCGGGGUGUCCCAGGCUCGCCAUCCCCAUGUCCCUGGGCGAGGCCCCCUCCCUCCCCAACUGGCAAGGUGUGCAGACACUCCAACCCGACUGGGGGGCACCUGGGCAGUUUAACUACCCGCUAAUUGCUAACUAACUGGUCCCCUGACAGGCCAAGGCUGCUCAGGAUGCAACUGCCAAUCACCAGCUGGCCGUUGACCUUGAACUUGCUCCCCGUCUCCUUCCUCCGCCCCACCCCAGGGGCCUUCUUACCCCAAGCAAGCACUACCACUGACCGCCCAGAAAUAAGGGCCCUCACGGGUCGCCUGUGUCUGGCAGGUGCUCCCACCUCUUGCGCCCUGCCCUGCCUCAUGACAAGAGGGGACCCCGCGGACCCAGUCCCAGCUGAGACAGUUAGCACCACCCGAUGGAAUUCCAACGUGACCUUCAAGAAGUGACACUGAUUAUACGAGACUCACUUAAUGAAGAUGUGAUGAUGACUCUGCUGCUCACCAGUCCAAUCUGGUCUCUCCCUUAGCUUGGGAAGAAUGAAUGGAGGCGCACGGUGCAGGGACACAGCCUUAAUGUGGCCGUCCCAUCUGUGAAGACCUCCAGAGCCACCAGUAAAUAUUCUGCUGCUCAGUUUUGGCUGCUAAUCAACAGCCUCUCAGCGGCAAUGACCUUCACCUCCAAAGAGAAACAACACGCUCUUUCCAGGCCACCCAGGAGGCCCCUUGACAGCCCCGCCAUCCCCCGCAGCCUUUGCUGAGGAGAGCUUAACAGCACAGGUGUGAGACCACCCACAUGUCGUCCUCCUCCGACGAGGUCCACCUGAGGACACACCGCGGGCACACAAGCAAGUCACGAGGCGCUCCCGUUACCCUACGAGCAAGGCCUCCUGCCUUGACGAACUUCCUGAAGACGACCCGGGACACGGGGCGCCGCUCCACCUGACGCAGGGAACAGGCAGCGGGGGACCCUCUGGGCAAGUCCGGCGUCUCCCAGGCCUUUCGGGGUCCUGCAGCUGACAUGUCUAUUUCUUCCACCCGGGGACGCUGCCACCUGCUAACUGGCUUCUUGAACGGACCCCGUCCAGUUAAAGCUUCCAGAAGCUGUCACUCCUCCUCCGAGUGCCUUCACAGCUGCUUCGCCAGGGAGCGGGGCUUGGCCAGCUCCUGAUCAGCUCGCAGGGCGUCCAGACCACACACAGCGGCUGCAACGCUGUCUCUGUCCACACGGCAAAUGCCCUCCUCAGUGCCACCCCAGGCACCGAUGGGGUAGCUACUGCUGGCCACACAUGGGGCUUCCUACUGCCGGCCACACGCAGGGCUCUCCUUCUGCCGGCCACACGCGGGGCUGUCCUGCUGCCGGCCACACGCAGGGCUGUCCUGCCGGCCACACGCGGGGCUCUCCUGCUGCCGGCCACACGCGGGGCUGUCCUGCUGCCGGCCACACGCGGGGCUGUCCUGCUGCCGGCCACACGCAGGGCUGUCCUGCUGCCGGCCACAUGCGGGGCUCUCCUGAAACAGGCUCCCACGGGCUCCCCGCCUGUGAGCUCCGUUGCUGGCUGCCUGUCCCGCCUUUGGGACAGCACCCAAGCCCAGCAAGGCCUCCUUCCGACAGGACAGAGCCCAGUCUCCACCCUCUGGCACAUCCCACCUGCAGGGGGCAGCAGUCUCCCUGGGCUCAGUUUCUUGCCAGGAGCUGGUCCACCCCAAGAGCCUUUGGCUACCUGGGGAUGCGUGGGGGAUGGGGCAGCAACAGAAACCACACAGACCCUCCGUGGCUGGCAUUGCCACUGUAACCCGUGGCGGAGCUCGGUGGGGGGCCACUGCUCUCCAUCUCUCCUCCAGAAAGUUCCAGGCAAGGGCGAGGCCCACCCGGGGUGAGCACUGGCGGCUAAACCUUAAGCAGUCACUUGGGACGGGAUGCUGUGGCCAGGCGGUGGCGCCAUCCGCACCUCCCAAGGAGGCACACAGACCCCUGCCCGCUGCCGCUAGUGCCACAGGCACGAUUCAUCCGUGCACCCCACAGCCACACCACCAGGUCCCCCAAAUGUCCUCACCGGCCCAGAGGCCCCCUCCCUCCUGGUCAACAACCCGCCAAGGCAGGCGCUUCUAUCCCCCAUGGUCUCGCCACCGCCAAGCUUUUAGGCAGUGUCUAGGAGAGCUGGGGCCACUGCGGGUGAGCUCACUGCUGCCGUCUGGGCAAAGCAGGAGGACCGCGAGCGGCCACUUCCCCACCAGGCUCUGCUCCCACAGAUAAGGGCCCCGGGCCAAGCCCUGCUCCUUAUCACAGCGCAGGCACUGUCCCUGCUCACCCUGAGCCCUGGCCUUCAGUCCUGCUGCCUCAUAGAGUCAUUCAGACGAGGCCCCGGGAGGAGGCAGGGCUCGCCACCUGCUGGAACCACAGCGCCUGCGCCGCUCUGCCCAGGAGCGCAAUUCCCCGUGUGGCCCCGCAGGGCGUGGGGCCGCCUCCUGCGCACGCUGCGAUGUAUGGAAAGAAGCCGCUGUGGCUCUCGCCCACCCAGGAGGUGCUGUGUCCACCACCCCCCUAACCUCCGGGCGGGAUCCCUCCACCUUACAUGGAUAAACAGGCCACCCCGCUCCGCCUGUGUCUCCUACCAGCUUCCCUCCCUCCCCUUGUGUAACCUCCUCCAGGCAGCCCGCUGGGCCUCCCAGCCUUCCUAGGCUGAUGUGUGUCUCUGCAGGGCUGGGGUCUCUGCCUGAAGACCCUCCCAGUGCUCCCUGACGUGUGCACAUCACGGUAACUCCAUGCUACCCCUGGGGCCCGGGCAUCCUGACCACUGCACCCCUCUUUCUUGUUUUCUAGACUCUGGACCCCUGCCUGUUCUGUGCAUUCCAGAGAGUAACUCUCUCGGACUUCAGAGAAGGGAGGCGAGCCCGAGUGAGCUGGCCUGGGCCAGGUGAGCCCUCCAAGAAAGGCAGGUGCUUCCUGAGGUCAGAGAUGGGGACGUGACAGGGACUCCACAUAAGGGACGCUUCUCCACUGCCGGCUUGGAAGAUGGAAAGGCCACAUGGCACAAAUGCAAGCAACCAGACCCGGCGUUGUGGCACAGCAGGUAAAGCCACCGCCUGCGACACCAGCAUCCCACAUGGGCGCCGGUUCGAGUCCUGCUGCUCUGUUUCUGAGCCAGCUCUCUGCUAUGGCCUGGGAAAGCAGUGGAAGAUGGCCCAAGUGCUUGGGCCCCUGCACCUGCAUGGGAGACCUGGAGGAACCUCCUGGCUCCUAGCUUCAGCCUGGUUCAGCCCUGGCUGCUGCAGCCAUUUGGAAAGAAAACCAGCAAUAGAAGAUCGAUAGAUCAAUCGAUCGAUCGAUCUCUCUCUCUCUCUCUA